ACUUGUCCUCUCCUGCUGUGGUUCUGCAUCUUUACAUACACACUGUAACAAAGUCUCAUGGAAUGCAUGCCGCGUUUAACGCAAUAAAAUACAACUUUCAGCAACGGAUCUCUUGGCUCUCGCAUCGAUGAAGAACGCAGCGAAAUGCGAUAAGUAAUGUGAAUUGCAGAAUUCAGUGAAUCAUCGAAUCUUUGAACGCACCUUGCGCCCUUUGGCAUUCCGAAGGGCAUGCCUGUUUGAGUAUCAUGAACACCUCAACUCUUCAUGGUUUUCCAUGAUGAGCUUGGACUUUGGGGGUCUUGCUGGCCUGCGGUCGGCUCCUCUCAAAUGAAUCAGCUUACCAGUGUUUGGUGGGCAUCACAGGUGUGAUAACUAUCUGCGCUUGUGGUUUUCCACCAAGUAACCUUCAGCAGUGGAGGUUCACUGGAGCUCACAGACGUCUCUCCUCAGUGAGGACAG
This 459-nucleotide ribosomal RNA is filed under the name uncultured Tomentella. RNAcentral describes it as "eukaryotic LSU rRNA". The stretch from base 93 to 246 matches the Rfam family "5.8S ribosomal RNA". The record is from RNAcentral. Lineage: Eukaryota; Fungi; Basidiomycota; Agaricomycetes; Thelephorales; Thelephoraceae.